CUCAAAAAAAUAAGUCUCAGUUCGGAUUGAAGGCUGAAAUUCGCCUUCAUGAAGCCGGAAUUGCUAGUAAUGGCAGGUCAGCAUACUGCCGUGAAUACGUUCCCGGGCCUUGUACACACCGCCCGUCACACCAUGAGAGUUGGGAAUACCCGAAGCCUGUGAGCUAACUUUUAGAGGCAGCAGUCGAAGGUAGAAUCAAUGAUUGGGGUGAAGUCGUAACAAGGUAGC
Molecule: ribosomal RNA, 228 nt
Filed under: uncultured bacterium
Lineage: Bacteria
Description: partial 16S ribosomal RNA
Rfam family: Bacterial small subunit ribosomal RNA
Source: RNAcentral